CAGUCGCCACGGUAAUACGAAGGUCCCGAGCGUUGUUCGGAAUCACUGGGCGUAAAGGGAGCGUAGGCGGCGUGGUAAGUCAGAUGUGAAAUCCCGGGGCUCAACCCCGGAACUGCAUCCGAUACUGCCAUGCUAGAGGAUUGGAGAGGUAGCUGGAAUUCUUGGUGUAGCAGUGAAAUGCGUGGAGAUCAAGAGGAACACUCGUGGCGAAAGCGAGCCACUGGACAAUAACUGACGCUGAGGCUCGAAGGCCAGGGUAGCGAAAGGGAUUAGAUACCCCCGUAGUCCCUGUCUCUUAUAC
RNAcentral lists this ribosomal RNA (301 nucleotides) under uncultured bacterium. Its description in RNAcentral is "partial 16S ribosomal RNA". It matches the Rfam family "Bacterial small subunit ribosomal RNA", at positions 509 to 807 of the family's 1533-position model. The record is from RNAcentral.